AAGCAAGCACAUCUUGCUGGAGUUCCCUGUGUACCUGAGGCCUUCUGAAGGCACAAACUGGGAUGGUUUGAAGAAGAGGAUGAGCAAGUUCCUUCAGUCUCAUCAUGGCAGCACGAGUGUGUUGACAAGCUACAUGUGUUUCACCUGCUAUUAACUUGCUGCUCGAUGACAAGCGACUGUUUCUUCCAGAGCAAACGAACACUGUCCAGGUUCUGCAGCUCCGUGUGUUUCUCGCCGUGUUUCCAUCCUGUCGAACACUCAGCGCCUGCCCUGCACGCAUUUCGGAAGCGAAGGACUUUCCUAAUUACAGUGCGAACAAUCCGAGGUGGGCUCCUGUCUGUCUAACUGUCAGGGAGAAUAAGUCAGCGGCAUGCACUUUUGGUGUGUUUUGCAUCAGAUCCACCCAAAUUCAAACGAGCAGGGAAAGUUACUCUUCUGGACACCAACUUUUCACAGUGACUACUUGCUCACAGGCACAGUGGGGGGUUGGAUGCUGAGGAUGGGGAUGUGAUGUUCCCUGUUGCGAGGGGACAGCGGUGGCCUUGGACCUGCAGCCACCAGCCCAGCACCCAGCAGGGGAUGUGGUGUUAGGGGAUCACCCUCCUCCUCCUUUAUAGUGGCACCUCUGGAGAGAAUUGCUUUGAAAGCACUGCUUUGUUCAGCAGCUCCUCUGGACUGUCUGGUCCUCAGACAGCGCUGGAUGUCUGAGCGGAGACAUCAGAGCCUUCCUGAAGCUGUUAUAACUUAAUCUGGCAGGCCAGCCUGCUCCGGCACCUCUUGCCAAGAGAGGAAGCCAGAGCACUAGAUGAUUUUCAGACAUUAGUGACUGCCAUAAAUCACAAAGCAGAAGUUAUCAAGUGCUCUGCUAAUGGACGUUUCCUUCCAGAGUAUCCCCUCUUGGGCUGUGCAGGGGCACAGAGGCUGCUCUCAGUGGGGGAAGCCAAGGGAGCUGUGCCAAGGCUGGGAAACAUGCUGAGGAAAGAGGCACCAGGCCCCAAUUCCAGCCUGACUGCUGCACUGCUGUGGCUGCUGCUGCUGCUCUUUGUGGGAGCUCAGACCCCCCCAGCCCCAUACAGAUAGCCAUGCUUUGGGAGCAGUGCAAAUCCCAAGUCAUCAAGAGGAAGGCACCAUUGGAGGCCAACCUGCAAAUGACUUAAAGUGCAGAAGGGAGAUUUCAGCCAAUCUGAGUGCUGGGCAGGGUUUAAACUGCGUGGAAGGAGUCGAUGCUUUGGUGCUGAGAUGGUUCUGCUCCAUGCUGUGCUUCCUGGCUCCUUAUAGCUGACAUGGCAAAGGGCUCGGGGCUCUACCCCCUUCCCUUCGAUGCUGAUUCCCAAUCAAAGCGAUGCACUCCUUGAGGAGCAGCAAACUGUUUAAUAUUUAAACCUGAACAGCCCAGGCAAAGCUGCUUUUCUUUUUUAUUUAUUCUUUUAAUUAAAUGCCAAUUAGAAAGGGAGGGAGAGAGAGAGGAAAAAAAAAAGGCAUUAAACACUUAAAUACACACUACACCCAGGUUGCUCAAAGUUGUUACGAGCUAAUUAGCCACUUAAGUGAUCAUUUGAAAUUCCAUAUCAAACAAUUCAUAAUCUGCCCCAAAACUGGAGGCUCAGUGAGCAGUGAUGGGCAGUGCCUGCCCUAUGGCUUUUACUUGUGGGAUUGGAGUUUCCCCUGUGUGUCCAUGGGAACUUUGUGCAGAUGGGACUGGGUAAGAAGCAGUAUUUUCUGCCCAGAGCUGCCACCUGGAGCAAGGUCACUGUCAGGAGUUCUAUUGGUGCUUUUUCCCCAUGUCUCCAUGCUUGGAGUUUGCAGUUUCCUUGCUGCACAGCCCUUCUGAUUCUCCUGUCUUCAACAGUGCUAUUAUCUGCUGCCCACCCUGCUGCCUCUAUGACCUGAAGGUGUUCAAAAACUUGUAGAUUUUACACUGAGGGGCAUGGGAUGGUAGGGAUGGGUGGAUGACUUAGAGGUUUUUCCAGCCUUAAUGACUCUAUGACCUGACAAGCUGGUGCCAUUCAUCUCACGUCACUUCAGCCCUAAAUGAAUUCUGGGGGAAGCAUGAUGGUGAAAUUCCUCAUUCACCAAGAAAGUGUUCUGCCCUUCUGUGCCCCCUAUCAGGGCUGGAAAAUCUUCCUCUGUGUUUCCUUCCAUGGAAAGUGCUGCCCCAUUGAUUAAACCCUGUGCACGUGUCUAUCUGCAUCCAACUGAACCCCGCACAUCUGCCCCUAGCACCACUCUGUGAGCUCAGGGUUAUGGGGGCAGAUUGAGGAGCCCCAUCCAUAACCCAUAACACCGCCGUGCCUAACGAACAAUGCAUUAAUUAGAGGCAGCAAUUCAACCUCCACCGUAAUCAAUUCCAGCAGUGCCCGCUCUGCCUGCACAUCCGACAGCCUCUUCCACUCCCCUCUGCAAGAUUUAUUAAUUAUCAAUGCUGGCUCCGGCGUGGCAUGCAGAGGAGAGCAGGAGCGAGGAGGUGGUAUCGGCGGCGGAGAUCUGAGAGACGUCUGAAGGGGAUUGGCAUGUGCAGGAGACAGCCUGCCUCCUGGGGACUCGCCCGGUGAUCUUUUUUUUUCCUCCCUUCCUCCUGCUUUUCUUUUAAUUAGUGGAGCUGGUGCGAUGCUCUGCUUGGACAGCAGAGAGGAGGGUGCGCAGCAGCAGGCAGGGGGUGGUGGGUGCGUGCAGCAUCCCCUGCUCCCUGUAUCCCAUCCCUUCACCCAGGGCAAUGCUUUGUGCCCAGGGCAGGCCCAAACCCAUAGCCCCAG
Phasianus colchicus (ring-necked pheasant) is the source of this 2753-nucleotide long non-coding RNA. RefSeq lists it as uncharacterized. NCBI's taxonomy places the organism in Eukaryota, Metazoa, Chordata, Aves, Galliformes, Phasianidae. The record is from RefSeq and is a predicted model, not a curated record.